RNAcentral lists this ribosomal RNA (429 nucleotides) under Actinomycetes bacterium. RNAcentral's name for it is "Actinobacteria bacterium partial 16S ribosomal RNA". It matches the Rfam family "Bacterial small subunit ribosomal RNA", at positions 355 to 776 of the family's 1533-position model. The record is from RNAcentral. Lineage: Bacteria; Bacillati; Actinomycetota; Actinomycetes.
UAGGGAAUCUUCCGCAAUGGGCGAAAGCCUGACGGAGCAACGCCGCGUGGGUGAUUAAGGUCUUCGGAUCGUAAAACUCUGUUAUUAGGGAAGAACAAAUGUGUAAGUAACUAUGCACGUCUUGACGGUACCUAAUCAGAAAGCUAUGGCUAACUACGUGCCAGCAGCCGCGGUAAUACGUAGGUGGCAAGCGUUAUCCGGAAUUAUUGGGCGUAAAGCGCGCGUAGGCGGGUUUUUAAGUCUGAUGUGAAAGCCCACGGCUCAACCGUGGAGGGUCAUUGGAAACUGGAAAACUUGAGUGCAGAAGAGGAAAGUGGAAUUCCAUGUGUAGCGGUGAAAUGCGCAGAGAUAUGGAGGAAAACCAGUGGCGAAGGCGACUUUCAGGUCUGUACCUGACGCUGAUGUGCGAAAGCGUGGGAAUCAAACAGG